AUUGAACGCUGGCGGCAGGCUUAACACAUGCAAGUCGAGCGGAGAUGAGGUGCUUGCACCUUAUCUUAGCGGCGGACGGGUGAGUAAUGCUUAGGAAUCUGCCUAUUAGUGGGGGACAACAUUCCGAAAGGAAUGCUAAUACCGCAUACGUCCUACGGGAGAAAGCAGGGGAUCUUCGGACCUUGUGCUAAUAGAUGAGCCUAAGUCGGAUUAGCUAGUUGGUGGGGUAAAGGCCUACCAAGGCGACGAUCUGUAGCGGGUCUGAGAGGAUGAUCCGCCACACUGGGACUGAGACACGGCCCAGACUCCUACGGGAGGCAGCAGUGGGGAAUAUUGGACAAUGGGGGAAACCCUGAUCCAGCCAUGCCGCGUGUGUGAAGAAGGCCUUAUGGUUGUAAAGCACUUUAAGCGAGGAGGAGGCUACUGAGACUAAUACUCUUGGAUAGUGGACGUUACUCGCAGAAUAAGCACCGGCUAACUCUGUGCCAGCAGCCGCCGCAG
This 501-nucleotide ribosomal RNA is filed under the name uncultured bacterium. RNAcentral's name for it is "partial 16S ribosomal RNA". It matches the Rfam family "Bacterial small subunit ribosomal RNA", at positions 30 to 523 of the family's 1533-position model. The record is from RNAcentral.